UUAACUGAAUUCUACUUGCUUUGUAUCAGUCAUUGCUUGAAUUUUAAAUAUGUUGGCCACUGGUGAAUAUAAACCUUAGAUAAUCUGCUUGUCAACUAUUCUCUUUUCAGAACAUAUUAUCCUGCCUGUAUAUUAUGCUUUCCACACCAUUUAUGGAGACAUACCUAUUGCCAGGAUUUCAUUGCUUGGCAUUUAGAAACAUAGUCUCCACCAGACUAUCAAAGAAGUCAAUGGGGGAAAAGAGGCUAAGUACCCCAGUUCUAGCCAAAAACAGAGGAAACUGAGGUGCUGUGCAAAGCAUGUUCACACCUGUUCUCUCAUGUGAUCUUCACAACAGCACUGCGUGGCACAUGUCGUGAUCACCCCAGUUUACAGGUGAAACACCGUGGCUCAAAGACACACUGGCUCUAGAGGAUGUGGACUCAGACGCUGGACUUCAGGCUGUGAAUAAACCAAGCAUCUCCAGCUCCUAGAGGUAUACCCAGCAGCACGUGCGUGACUCUUAGAACCAGCUGUGCGAGCCAGUGAAGGUCACGAACAUUCCUUGAUCCGAUGUUCCUCAUCCUGUUCCUGGGAUUGUUGUGAGGAUUCAGUUUAUGUACCCAGAUGGCUGGCACACAGUAAGUGUUUACUUAUUAGAUAAUUGUUGAAUUCUCAAUCUUUCCCUAAGCAUCAGGGUUUUUAUGAUGGUUCAUGAUGGUCCAUAUUUUCCACAUUCCCUGUCCUGACUCUCACCUCAGGAAUAAGCUACCUGAUUUGAUAAAACUUAAUCCCUGUUAGAUAGAAUUCUGAUGGUUUUGCGGGGGCCCUGUACUCUGUGGUUUAAAUGAGUAGUGAGUAACUAUGAAUCCAGGUUUGCUCACUUAUGGAUGGGGCUGGUUCCAUCUACUUAUUGGGGAUUUUGAGCAUUUUCACAAAAUUCUUGUGGAUACCUUUGCACAGUUCUUAACAGAUGGGUGAGCCAUACCUAGUGUCCCUUGUUUUUUAGCUGAAUUUAUAAAACUUCCCAGGCAGCACUACAUUGUCUUGGACAGAGAUUUAAUUCCAAUACAGGGAAUAGUGCCAGCUUCUUAAUGAAAUGUCAACAGCUCCUUUUCAGCCUCCUGGAAUGGAGCUGAGCUCCUGCUGGCUGGAGAUAUUGCUGAAUAAUGUGGGCAGGCAGCAGGAUCUGGAGUCCAGGUGUCCCAUUAGUGAAUGGGUCAUAAAGUCAAGAACAUAGUCUUGGAGGCCAGGCUGUCAUAACAGAAUGGACAGGGAUUGUCUCUGUGCUUACUUUAUCUUGACUAUUUGGACUUGCAUAGGGAAAGAGAUGGUCAAAUAGUAAUAGGAUUAACCCCUCAUUUUUUGAUAAGUAUGGUAAACUAUCUCUUCAUCUCCCCAUGCAUGUAUCAAGAGAGAAGCAAUAUUGACAUUAACAUGGUGGCAUAGCCCCUGCCGUAUCUCACACUCAAUUCUCUGACAGCCUUACAGGGGUAUUGUGUAUUGGAGGGAGAAACUGCUUUGGUGGCAAUAAAGAUGAUUAUAUUAAUUAAUAUUAACUGAGCACUCACCGCGUGCCAUGCUAUCUGCUAAGCACUUUACAUACAUUAUUUCCUUUAAUCCUCACCAUAACUAUGAAAUAGGUACUAUUAUUACCUCUUUUACAAAUGAGGAGCUAGAGACUCUGAAAGGGCAGAUGAUUUGCUCAAGGUCACAGAGCUGGAACGAGAUGGAGCCAGGAUUUAAACUCAAGGGCCUGACUCCAGAAUGGGCAUGAUUUACCAUUAAGGGAAACAGUCUAUCAUUUAUGUGUUCCAUUGUGUUUUGUACUCACUGUCUCAUUUGUUUCUCAGGAAGACUCUGCAGAGAUAAACCCAGUUCCCUCCACUAAGCAGUACAAGACCUCCUGCCCCCUCUCUAAAUCUCCAAUAUCAAUAGCAGCCCUCUUCACAGAUGCCCUAGCCUGAGAUUCCUACAAUUAGACAGUACUUGUUUAAGUCACAACGCUUAAACCACAACCCUGCUGUACCCAAUCUGCCCAUAGGAGUUAAUCAAGGGAGCAAGUUCAUUGACCUGGCUUGUAGGACUGGAGCAAACAGGGACCAUGACACAUUGUGCUAAUGAAUGUGCUGGUUUCCAGCAAAGGCAAAUUCCAAAGAGUAAAAGCCUUAUUAAUUCAAACCACAAGGGACCAUAAUACAUGACCUUUCAAAUGCCCAAGCUUGGAUUAUCCGACAUUUGCAUGCAAAGAACAUAAUGUUUCUAAUCAUCUUGGGAAGAUAUUGCACUGAGUCUUCUACAAUUUUGAGUCCAUGCUUAUUAAAAACAACAACAAUAUGUAAACCAAAACCCAAAACUCAAUCAGACAAUCCUUACGGUAAGGACAGAUUAUUGGGGACAUUUUCUUCAGAGUACAAAUGAGAAUUUGUAAAUGGAGCUGAAUAUCCGUUUUCCAGGCUGUGCAGCUGCUCUCUCACUUUCUCCCACCAGUCACUCGGUUCUAGCUGGACACGAGGUCCGUCCUCCCCUGAGUCCAACACAGAGCAUAGCCUGUGAAAAGCAGGAUCUUGGGCAGCCCUGAGAGGCUGUGGCCCAGGUGCAGGAGGUAACACUAAGUACUAGUCGUGACUCCCACAGUCUGCUUGUCAGAAUUAACCAUUACC
Non-coding RNA from Manis javanica (Malayan pangolin), 2642 nucleotides. NCBI's taxonomy places the organism in Eukaryota, Metazoa, Chordata, Mammalia, Pholidota, Manidae. The record is from RefSeq and is a predicted model, not a curated record.